This 253-nucleotide ribosomal RNA is filed under the name uncultured bacterium. RNAcentral describes it as "partial 16S ribosomal RNA". It matches the Rfam family "Bacterial small subunit ribosomal RNA", at positions 524 to 776 of the family's 1533-position model. The record is from RNAcentral.
UACGUAGGCAGCAACCGUUGUUCGGAAUUACUGGGCGUAAAGAGUGUGUAGGCGGCUUUGUAAGUUCUGUGUGAAAUCUCCCGGCUCAACUGGGAGGGUGCGCCGAAUACUGCAAGGCUUGAGUACUGGAGAGGAUAGCGGAAUUCCUGGUGUAGCGGUGAAAUGCGUAGAUAUCAGGAGGAACACCGGCGGUGUAGACGGCUAUCUGGACAGUAACUGACGCUGAGACACGAAAGCGUGGGGAGCAAACAGG